AGAUCCUUUAUUCAAAAAGCAAAACAAUAAAGAACCAUGCUUGUUAAGCUUAGACUAAAGCAGAAAAACAACAAAAAGGCCAAAAAACCCAGCCCAAAAUAGAGAACAAAACAAAAACCAGAUAAGAUCCAGCUAGGCAGAGAUGGGGAGCUCUAGAGUCUUCUUAACAGCUAGCUGUUAACCAUUACAACCCAUCCCAUCAACAACAACAAAUGUAUUUGGGGAAACGCUACUAUCAUAAUUACCCCCAUUUAUUGAAACUCAAUUUCCAUUACUUUCCUCGGAAAUUCAAAAGAGCUUCUAUCUUCCUUUAUGCAAAGUUUCUUUCCAAAACCGUCCUGAAACACACCCAGCGUUUCAACUUCUCAAGAAUCCGUCCAUCGCUGAUCCUUAGACAGAGCUUCCUUCACUCCAGCAGUAAACAACGACAGCAGAUAAGUCGUUUCUCCCCUCAGUAAACCCUCUUUUGCAAGAAGAUGAGCAAUGUUGUUUUCCGCUCUGGGCAUAAAUCGAAAAUCACAGGAUUCAAAACCCAUGCUCAGAUGCUUUGAAUCAUUUAUGAAAACUUCAAUUUCUAACCUGUCUUCAUCUCGCUUUUGCAGUUUAUGGAUUACUGUUUGAGAGUCACCUUCAACCACUACCUUACUCAGACCUUGAUGUAACCCGAGUUGAAUCGCCUGAACACACGCCACCGCUUCAGCAGCAAAAGCAGAAGGUAUAUUCUUUUGAAAAACGACUUUAGCAUUAACCACUACUGCCCUUGCAUUCUUUACGACUAUUCCCGAACAUGACUAUUUCUUAUCCUUGUUAAAAGCAGCGUCAAAAUUGAUUUUGACCCACGGAUCUUUCGAACCAGCCCAUCGACUCGUAGAAAACCGCCUCACUGUUAAGCACGAACUCAACCCAUCCAAUUCUUUUAUGUAAUCCUUAUAAAAUAUGCCACUCUAGAACCAGAUUUUGAUUCACCUUCAUGAAUGAAUCUAUUUCUUGUACUCCAUAGCACCCACAAAACACAAGCAAUCACUCUGCAUUGACUAAAAGAAUUUUGUUCAAAGAUGUUGCUAAUCCAAGCAUUGAAAUCAGUAAAUUCCUCUUGCAAAGGCCAGUUAAAGCCUAAUCUGUCCCAUGUUUCCUUUGCUAUAGGGUAUUCCUUGAAAACGUGCUCCCUGGAAUCCGGUCCGUUAUGGCACAUUCGGCAAGUUGCAGAUCCCAUAAGUCUCUUGUAGUGUAGAUUACAGAAAGUAGGCAAAAAGUUGUAAAAAAUCCUCUAAUUUGUAAUUUUAAUUUUAGGAGGUAAAUCUAGACUCCAUGAUCUUUUGUAAAAGUGGUUGUAAUUUGAUUGGGUUUGAGUCUAUCCCUCUUGUAAAAGAAGUUUGUGACCGUUGUGAACCAUGUACUCUCCUGUCGGCUCCCCACAAUAGAUUAUAUGAUCUUCAUGCUAGUUCAUGGACAGAGGGAUACAUAAAAUUCGAUCCGCGUCCUUUUCCAAAAAGGUAUUGUAGAUCAAGUUAGAUUUCCAUUUCCUUGUACUCGCCUCAAUUAAAUCUGCUAUUACUAACAAGUUCGAAUUAACACCCAAAUUCUGGACUCUAAAAUCACUGUUUCCAGGGACCCAUGCAUCACUCUAGAUAGAGACAUUCUUACCAUCACCAAUCCUCCACCCCAUUCCUUUCAUAAGGAGACCUUCUGCAGACCAUAUACUCUGCCAGGUAAGAGAAGGUAAAUUUCCUAACCUUGAAUUCAAAAAAUCUGAUUCUUUAAAGUAUUUUGCCUUCAAAGUACGCACUAGUAACGAAUUAAGAUUUUGUAACAAACACCAACUGUAACAUCCUCUAACCCCAAACCGUCACCGAAACAGGGUUACAAAGUAUUACUGGACCUAUCAGACAAUUUACAGUUAAUACACUCAUAAAAUAAUCUUAAAGUUCCAUAGAUAGACUCUCGAGGUCCAAUAUAAACAGUAGAAUCAGUUUGAGACUAAAAUUAAAAUCACUAUGAAUUUUUUUCUCAAAUUUCAAAAUUAUUCUUAUGAGCAGUAUUCACACGCCCGUGUGGAUUGCCAGUGUGACCCACAUUACCUUGUCAUUAAGUCAUACGACCGUGUUGAGAGCUUGUGUAACUCUCUGUUUAUGACAUUGUCAUCAAGUGGAUUUCACAUAGCCGCAUCGUACGCCCGUGUUUUAGACUGUAUCCUUCACACGACUGAGACACAUGUCCGUGUCUUUGCUCGUGUGCUUAUUUUUAAGCUAAAAUUCAAGACACAGGGGUUACACGGUCUGGCCACAUGCCCGUGUACCAAGCCGUGUGGACUCAAAAUGAGUAUCUAACAGUUAAUUUUCUAACUCUACAAAUUUCAACCACAAUCAACAUAAAAUACUUAUGUUCCAUCAAUCUAGACACAAUCAAAUACGCUUAUAAUUUGCCAAAUUUAACAUUUUAUAUAUUAUACAAUAUUCAAUUCUAAUCACUUAUCAAAUAUCAUCAAAUAAUUCAAAUUCACACCAAAUAAGCCAAAUCUUAUUAUGUACCAUUACCAAAUCUCAAUCUACUUAUUUCAUCCUUACAUUCUCAAUUCAAAAUGACAUACACGUAAGACACCCUAGGUACAUGCCAUUACCAAUAAUUAGCAUACUUUACCUUAUUGAAUUCGGGAUCAUCCUGGGAUGCUGAUUCAACAUUCUAGCUUUAACUUAUCCUGCGCACGGAAACAAACCGUACGUUGAGUAUGGAUAUACUCGGUGGUAUUUCUAUAAUCCGAACAUCAAAUAAAAUGAAAAUAUAACAAACACUUAAAAAUCAUAUAAUAAUUAGAAUUAUUCAAUUAUUUAAUUUCGUAGAUAAAUUGUUUAUAACUUAUUUCAUUCUUUUUACUUACUAACCUGUAUAGUUUUCCGUAAUACGUUCACACGUCAUUUUAAAACAAUAAUAUUAUUCACUUCUCAAUCACCGUUCUAUACUUAUUCAUUUCAUUAACAGUUAUUAUUAUUCAUAUCAUUAUCUUGCUAUUCUAGAUAACUUCCACUAUAUACAUUCGAUUCAUAUAUCUCAAUUCACAUUUCAAUUCAUCAAGUGGCAUCAAAUAUCAUCAAUUCGAACUUCAAUCAUUUCAUGAACCUUUGGUUCAAGUUUCAAUCUCAUAUCUCAAUUUCAAUUCUCAAUUCAAUUUCUCAUUUCAUUUCAAUAGCUCAAUCAAUCAAAUUUAUUCGAUUUAUCUCUUUAUUUAUUUACUCCUAUUAACAAGACUCGGACCUUGGCGGAUACACUAUCCAACCAAACACACCAGAUUGGCACCCAGUGCCUCAUUGGAUAAUUCGAAGCAAUAGUUGACACCCAGUGCCUCAUCGGCCUAGCCAAAGUAAAGUUGGUAUCCAGUACCUCAUCGAAUUUAUCCAAAGAAAUAUAGUGACACCCAGUGUCUCAUCGACUCAAGGUUGAAGUAUCCCUGAACACUUCCAAUCUUAUGGCAUGCCAACUAUAUCCGACCUAGCCCGAUACUGUUAGUAGGGUAUCUAAAUCACAUUUAAUUUUAUUUCAAUCACAAUUUCUCACAUUUUGAAUUCAAUCAUUUUUCCACCUUUCAAUCAAUAUUCAAUCCAUUUAUUUACACAUUUUUCACAAUAAUCAUAUCAAUUUCAUCAUAUUCUCAAUCAGUAAAAUUUUCAAUAUAACAUACAUUCAAUAUUUAAUUUUUACCUCACUCACAUAUAUCAUAUAAAUUCAAUUCAAUUCAAUCAAUAUAAUUUCAAUAAAUUCAUUAUAUAUCAAAUCAAUCCAUUUCAAUUAUAAAACACAAUAAUUCUAACACUAACAAUUUCCAUAUGCAUUAAAUAAAAAUACAACAAUUAAAUACUAAUUUCGGAUUAUAGAAAUACAAACCGUAAUUUCUAAGCUAACUCCCGUUGUCUUUGCCUUUUUCCUUGCUUAGCUGAGGCUUUCGGCACAAUGUUAGCUACGGUAAUUAAAAUAAUUAUACUAUUAAUUACAGUAUUAAUUAUAAUAAAUAAUUAAAUUUCUAAUCAAUUCUCACCUUAUUCCUAAUUUAAUCCUUACUAAGUUUACUCACUUUCCUAAUUAAAUUCACUCUUUAUUUCCAUUCAAAUUUUAUCCAAACUCAAAUUUAAUUAUUAAAUUUCCAGCAUAUUUUCAUAAUUUUGAAUUUAUUUCCAUUUAAGCCCUAAAACUCAAAACUUAUAGCUUAGUUUACAAUUCAAUCCUUUAUUCAAUUCAAAUCAAAAUUUCUAUCAAAUAAACCCCCAAUUCCAUCAUUUUAUUCAACAUGAACCAUAUUUAGAAAUCUAAUAACUUUCAAAAUUUCCACUUAAAACAAGUAGUAUUUAUCUCUAGGAUUUCAAAAACUCAAAAAUCAUAAGAAAAGGGGCUAAAUUGACUUACCAAAUUAACUUGAAACAUUUAAAACCAUAUUUUUCCCUUUUUCUUUUCUUUCUUUCUCCCUUCUCUGUUUCGUCCCCUGCUAUUCUGUUUCUUUCCUUCUUUUUAUUCUUUUGUUUCUUAUAUAUAUAUAAUAACAAUAAUAACUAUAAUAAAAAUCUAUUUAAUAACAAAUAUUUAUUUAACACUUGUACCAAUCAUUUUUAUACGCUUGUUUUUCUUUUCUUUUAUAUAUAUAUAAUAACUUAAUAAUAUACUUAUAUAAUAAGUAAACAUACAUGUAUUUUACAAAUGUAUGUAUACUAAUAUUACACAUGUCAUUAUACAUACCAUACAUUUGUCAUUCUUUUCUUUAUUUAUCAUAUAAAUAUCUUUUAUAAAUAAUAAUUAUCUUUUAAUAAUUAAAAACAUGUAUUACAAUUGUAUGUAUUUUCAUUAAUACACUUGUAUCCAAUCAUUACCAUACAUUUGUCUUUAUUUAAUUUAUUUCAUAAUAUAAUAUCAAUUAAAUAAUAAUAAAUACAUUAAUAUUUACUUAAAUAAUAAGUAAAUACAUACAUGUAUUAUAAUUGUAUGUACAAUAUUUAUUACACAUG
This 4985-nucleotide long non-coding RNA is filed under the name Gossypium barbadense (sea-island cotton). Its description in RNAcentral is "long non-coding RNA (GBAR_LNC006620)". Lineage: Eukaryota; Viridiplantae; Streptophyta; Magnoliopsida; Malvales; Malvaceae. The record is from RNAcentral.